RNAcentral lists this transfer RNA (73 nucleotides) under Actinobacteria bacterium 13_1_20CM_3_68_9. Its description in RNAcentral is "tRNA-Lys". It matches the Rfam family "tRNA". From Rfam's summary of the family: Transfer RNA (tRNA) molecules are approximately 80 nucleotides in length. Their secondary structure includes four short double-helical elements and three loops (D, anti-codon, and T loops). The record is from RNAcentral. Lineage: Bacteria; Bacillati; Actinomycetota. RNAcentral also lists the same sequence under 2 other names.
GGGCCGUUAGCUCAACUGGUAGAGCAGGAGCCUCUUAAGCUCAAGGUUGAAGGUUCGAGUCCUUCACGGCCCA